GUAUUGUCGAGCCUGCGACUUUUGUCGCAGAAAGCUCGAAAUAGGGAUAGUGAUCCGGCGGCGGCGGCGGCUACGGCGGCGUUAGCUAACUUCUUAAAAGCUUUAUAUUUUAGAAGGUGGAAGGUCUGGAUGCUUCAUACUUUGUAUAUGGAUGCCUCAUGUUACGAAGUUUCCGUCAGUCACAUGUCCAAUGUCCUUGACCUCAUUUUCAUGGUUCAGUGACUACUUGAAAAAAAAGUUAAGAUUUUUUGUAAUGUUAGAUUCUCUCUUAUUAUAAGUAAUAGGAUAACUAUAUUUGGUAUGUGCGUACCUUGCAAGGUCCUCAUGCCCGUUAGACAGUUUUCACUUGACCUCGACCUCAUUUCAUGGAUCAGUGAACAAGGUUAAGUUUUGGUGGUCAAGUCCAUAUCUCAGAUGCUAUAAGCAAUAGGUCUAGUAUAUUCGGUGUAUGGAAGGACUGUAAGGUGUACAUGUCCAACUGGCAGGUGUCAUCUGACCUUGACCUCAUUUUCAUGGUUCAGUGGUUAUAGUUAAGUUUUUGUGUUUUGGUCUAUUUUUCUUAUACUGUAUGCCAUAGGUCUACUAUAUUUGGUGUAUGGAAUGAUUGUAAGGUGUACAUGUCUAGCGGGCAGGUGUCAUCUGACCUUGACCUCAUUUUCAUGGUUCAGUGGUCAAAGUUAAGAUUUUGAGUUUUGGUCUUUUUUUCUAAUACUAUAUGUAAUAGUUCAACUAUAUUUGGUAUGUGCGUACCUUGCAAGCUCCUCAUGCCCGUCAGACAGUUUUCACUUGACCUCGACCUCAUUUCAUGGAUCAAUGAACAAGGUUAAGUUUUGGUGGUCAAGACCAUAUCUCAGAUACUAUAAGCAAUAGGUCUAGUAUAUUCGGUGUAUGGAAGGACUGUAAGGUGUACAUGUCCAACUGGCAGGUGUCAUCUGACCUUGACCUCAUUUUCAUGGUUCAGUGGUUAUAGUUAAGUUUUUGUGUUUUGGUCUGUUUUUCUCAUACUUUAUGCAAUAGUUCAACUAUAUUUGGUGUAUGGAAAUAUUUUAUGAUCUAUUUGGCAGUCACGCAGGUUUUAUUUGACCUUGACCUCAUUUUCAAGGUUCAUUGCUCAGUGUUAAGUUUUUGUCGAGCCUUCGACUUUUGUCGCAGAAAGCUCGACAUAGGGAUAGUGAUCCGGCGGCGGCGGCGGCUACGGCGGCGUUAGCUAACUUCUUAAAAGCUUUAUAUUUUAGAAGGUGGAAGGUCUGGAUGCUUCAUACUUUGUAUAUGGAUGCCUCAUGUUACGAAGUUUCCGUCAGUCACAUGUCCAAUGUCCUUGACCUCAUUUUCAUGGUUCAGUGACUACUUGAAAAAAAAGUUAAGAUUUUUUGUAAUGUUAGAUUCUCUCUUAUUAUAAGUAAUAGGAUAACUAUAUUUGGUAUGUGCGUACCUUGCAAGGUCCUCAUGCCCGUUAGACAGUUUUCACUUGACCUCGACCUCAUUUCAUGGAUCAGUGAACAAGGUUAAGUUUUGGUGGUCAAGUCCAUAUCUCAGAUGCUAUAAGCAAUAGGUCUAGUAUAUUCGGUGUAUGGAAGGACUGUAAGGUGUACAUGUCCAACUGGCAGGUGUCAUCUGACCUUGACCUCAUUUUCAUGGUUCAGUGGUUAUAGUUAAGUUUUUGUGUUUUGGUCUAUUUUUCUUAUACUGUAUGCCAUAGGUCUACUAUAUUUGGUGUAUGGAAUGAUUGUAAGGUGUACAUGUCUAGCGGGCAGGUGUCAUCUGACCUUGACCUCAUUUUCAUGGUUCAGUGGUCAAAGUUAAGAUUUUGAGUUUUGGUCUUUUUUUCUAAUACUAUAUGUAAUAGUUCAACUAUAUUUGGUAUGUGCGUACCUUGCAAGCUCCUCAUGCCCGUCAGACAGUUUUCACUUGACCUCGACCUCAUUUCAUGGAUCAAUGAACAAGGUUAAGUUUUGGUGGUCAAGUCCAUAUCUCAGAUACUAUAAGCAAUAGGUCUAGUAUAUUCGGUGUAUGGAAGGACUGUAAGGUGUACAUGUCCAACUGGCAGGUGUCAUCUGACCUUGACCUCAUUUUCAUGGUUCAGUGGUUAUAGUUAAGUUUUUGUGUUUUGGUCUGUUUUUCUUAUACUGUAUGCCAUAGGUCUACUAUAUUUGGUGUACGGAAUGAUUGUAAGGUGUACAUGUCUAGCGGGCAGGUGUCAUCUGACCUUGACCUCAUUUUCAUGGUUCAGUGGUCAAAGUUAAGAUUUGGAGUUUUGGUCUUUUUUUCUAAUACUAUAUGUAAUAGUUCAACUAUAUUUGGUAUGUGCGUACCUUGCAAGCUCCUCAUGCCCGUCAGACAGUUUUCACUUGACCUCGACCUCAUUUCAUGGAUCAAUGAACAAGGUUAAGUUUUGGUGGUCAAGUCCAUAUCUCAGAUACUAUAAGCAAUAGGUCUAGUAUAUUCGGUGUAUGGAAGGACUGUAAGGUGUACAUGUCCAACUGGCAGGUGUCAUCUGACCUUGACCUCAUUUUCAUGGUUCAGUGGUUAUAGUUAAGUUUUUGUGUUUUGGUCUGUUUUUUUUAUACUGUAUGCCAUAGGUCUACUAUAUUUGGUGUAUGGAAUGAUUGUAAGGUAUACAUGUCUAGCGGGCAGGUGUCAUCUGACCUUGACCUCAUUUUCAUGGUUCAGUGGUCAAAGUUAAGUUUUUUGAGUUUUGGUCUUUUUUUCUAAUACUAUAUGCAAUAAUUCAACUAUAUUUGGUGUAUGGAAAUAUUUUAUGAUCUAUUUGGCAGUCAAGCAGGUUUUAUUCGACCUUGACC
Molecule: long non-coding RNA, 2801 nt
Organism: Mytilus californianus (California mussel)
Lineage: Eukaryota; Metazoa; Mollusca; Bivalvia; Mytilida; Mytilidae
Exons: 4
Source: RefSeq, a predicted model, not a curated record